This 442-nucleotide ribosomal RNA is filed under the name uncultured bacterium. Its description in RNAcentral is "partial 16S ribosomal RNA". It matches the Rfam family "Bacterial small subunit ribosomal RNA", at positions 338 to 795 of the family's 1533-position model. The record is from RNAcentral.
CCUACGGGUGGCAGCAGUGGGGAAUAUUGGGCAAUGGGCGCAAGCCUGACCCAGCAACGCCGCGUGAAGGAAGAAGGCUUUCGGGUUGUACACUUCUUUUGACAGGGAAGAGUAGUAGACGUUACCUGUCGAAUAAGCCACGGCUAACUGCGUGCCAGCAGCCGCGGUAAUACGUAGGUGGCAAGCGUUGUCCGGAUUUACGGGGUGUAAAGGGCGUGUAGCCGGGUUGACAAGUCAGAUGUGAAAGCCUGCGGCUUAACCGCAGAACUGCAUUUGAAACUGUUUAUCUUGAGUACUGGAGAGGAAGACGGAAUUCCUAGUGUAGCAGUGAAAUGCGUAGAUAUUAGGAGGAACAGCAGUGGCGAAGGCGGUCUACUGGACAGCAACUGACGGUGAGGCGCGAAAGCGUGGGGAGCAAACAGGAUUAGAUACCCGUGUAGUC